RNAcentral lists this ribosomal RNA (241 nucleotides) under uncultured Actinomycetales bacterium. RNAcentral's name for it is "partial 16S ribosomal RNA". It matches the Rfam family "Bacterial small subunit ribosomal RNA", at positions 89 to 334 of the family's 1533-position model. Lineage: Bacteria; Bacillati; Actinomycetota; Actinomycetes; Actinomycetales. The record is from RNAcentral.
ACUCGAGUGGCGAACGGGUGAGUAACACGUGGGUGAUCUGCCCUGCACUUCGGGAUAAGCCUGGGAAACUGGGUCUAAUACCGGAUAGGACGAUGGUUUGGAUGCCAUUAUGGAAAGUUUUUCGGUGUGGGAUGAGCUCGCGGCCUAUCAGCUUGUUGGUGGGGUAAUGGCCUACCAAGGCGUCGACGGGUAGCCGGCCUGAGAGGGUGUACGGCCACAUUGGGACUGAGAUACGGCCCAG